This 426-nucleotide ribosomal RNA is filed under the name uncultured Actinomycetes bacterium. RNAcentral describes it as "bacterial SSU rRNA". It matches the Rfam family "Bacterial small subunit ribosomal RNA", at positions 233 to 671 of the family's 1533-position model. The record is from RNAcentral. Lineage: Bacteria; Bacillati; Actinomycetota; Actinomycetes.
GCGGCCUAUCAGCUUGUUGGUGGGGUAGUGGCUUACCAAGGCUUUGACGGGUAGCCGGCCUGAGAGGGUGACCGGCCACAUUGGGACUGAGAUACGGCCCAGACUCCUACGGGAGGCAGCAGUGGGGAAUAUUGCACAAUGGGCGGAAGCCUGAUGCAGCAACGCCGCGUGCGGGAUGACGGCCUUCGGGUUGUAAACCGCUUUCGCCUGUGACGAAGCGUGAGUGACGGUAAUGGGUAAAGAAGCACCGGCUAACUACGUGCCAGCAGCCGCGGUGAUACGUAGGGUGCGAGCGUUGUCCGGAUUUAUUGGGCGUAAAGGGCUCGUAGGUGGUUGAUCGCGUCGGAAGUGUAAUCUUGGGGCUUAACCCUGAGCGUGCUUUCGAUACGGGUUGACCUGAGGAAGGUAGGGGAGACUGGAAUUCCU